This 73-nucleotide transfer RNA is filed under the name Methanobacteriota archaeon. RNAcentral's name for it is "Euryarchaeota archaeon (groundwater metagenome) tRNA-Glu". It matches the Rfam family "tRNA". From Rfam's summary of the family: Transfer RNA (tRNA) molecules are approximately 80 nucleotides in length. Lineage: Archaea; Methanobacteriati; Methanobacteriota. The record is from RNAcentral.
GCUCCCGUAGUGUAGCGGCCAAUCAUCGGGGCCUUUCGAGCCUUGGACGCGGGUUCGAAUCCCGCCGGGAGCA